Molecule: ribosomal RNA, 1000 nt
Filed under: Nocardiopsis rhodophaea
Lineage: Bacteria; Bacillati; Actinomycetota; Actinomycetes; Streptosporangiales; Nocardiopsidaceae
Description: bacterial SSU rRNA
Rfam family: Bacterial small subunit ribosomal RNA
Source: RNAcentral
GGGCAGGGGGGGGGCGUGCUUACCAUGCAGUCGAGCGGUAAGGCCCCUUCGGGGGUACACGAGCGGCGAACGGGUGAGUAACACGUGAGCAACCUGCCCCUGACUCUGGGAUAAGCCGUGGAAACGCGGUCUAAUACCGGAUACGACGUCCUGCCGCAUGGUGGGGUGUGGAAAGUUGUGUCGGUUGGGGAUGGGCUCGCGGCCUAUCAGCUUGUUGGUGGGGUGAUGGCCUACCAAGGCGAUUACGGGUAGCCGGCCUGAGAGGGCGACCGGCCACACUGGGACUGAGACACGGCCCAGACUCCUGCGGGAGGCAGCAGUGGGGAAUCUUGCGCAAUGGGCGGAAGCCUGACGCAGCGACGCCGCGUGGGGGAUGACGGCCUUCGGGUUGUAAACCUCUUUUACCACUCACGCAGGCCCCGGGUGUUCUCGGGGUUGACGGUAGGUGGGGAAUAAGGACCGGCUAACUACGUGCCAGCAGCCGCGGUAAUACGUAGGGUCCGAGCGUUGUCCGGAAUUAUUGGGCGUAAAGAGCUCGUAGGCGGUGUGUCGCGUCUGCUGUGAAAGGCUGGGGCUUAACCCUGGUUUUGCAGUGGAUACGGGCAUGCUAGAGGUAGGUAGGGGAGACUGGAAUUCCUGGUGUAGCGGUGAAAUGCGCAGAUAUCAGGAGGAACACCGGUGGCGAAGGCGGGUCUCUGGGCCUUACCUGACGCUGAGGAGCGAAAGCGUGGGGAGCGAACAGGAUUAGAUACCCUGGUAGUCCACGCCGUAAACGUUGGGCGCUAGGUGUGGGGGCUUUCCACGGUUCCCGUGCCGUAGCUAACGCAUUAAGCGCCCCGCCUGGGGAGUACGGCCGCAAGGCUAAAACUCAAAGGAAUUGACGGGGGCCCGCACAAGCGGCGGAGCAUGUUGCUUAAUUCGACGCAACGCGAAGAACCUUACCAAGGUUUGACAUCACCGGUAAUCCAUCGGAGACGGUGGGUCCUUUUGGGAUCGGUGA